GACGAACGCUGGCGGCGUGCUUAACACAUGCAAGUCGAACGGUGAAGCGCCUUCCUUUUUGGUGGGUGUGGAUGAGUGGCGAACGGGUGAGUAACACGUGAGUAACCUGCCCCCUUCUUCUGGAUAACCGCAUGAAAGUGUGGCUAAUACGGGAUAUUCUGGGUCUGUCGCAUGAUGGGUCUGGGAAAGAUAUUGUUUCGGUGGGGGAUGGGCUCGCGGCCUAUCAGCUUGUUGGUGGGGUGAUGGCCUACCAAGGCGGUGACGGGUAGCCGGCCUGAGAGGGUGGACGGUCACACUGGGACUGAGACACGGCCCAGACUCCUACGGGAGGCAGCAGUGGGGAAUAUUGCACAAGGGGCGCAAGCCUGCUGCGGCGACGCCGCGUGGGGGAUGGAGGCCUUCGGGUUGUGAACCUCUUUCGCCAGUGAAGCAGGCCUGCCUCGUUUGUGGGUGGGUUGACGGUAGCUGGAUAAGAAGCGCCGGCUAACUACGUG
This 494-nucleotide ribosomal RNA is filed under the name uncultured bacterium. RNAcentral's name for it is "partial 16S ribosomal RNA". It matches the Rfam family "Bacterial small subunit ribosomal RNA", at positions 28 to 507 of the family's 1533-position model. The record is from RNAcentral.